GCAGGACGGUGGCCAUGGAA
This 20-nucleotide non-coding RNA is filed under the name Xenopus tropicalis (tropical clawed frog). RNAcentral also lists the same sequence under 2 other names. Lineage: Eukaryota; Metazoa; Chordata; Amphibia; Anura; Pipidae. The record is from RNAcentral.